UUGACUGCCCAGGAGACUGGGAACGUGUAUUUAUAUGCAGAACAAACAGCAGCCAUGAGAGAUUUCCUUCACUGUCUUGCCAAUGUGACUUAAUGCUAUUUUAGAAGAUUGUGGGGGUAGUUCUGACUCCAUGCCUGUUCAAUCUUUGGCCUCU
This 154-nucleotide small RNA is filed under the name Sphenodon punctatus (tuatara). RNAcentral describes it as "TUC338 (ENSSPUG00000016823.1)". Lineage: Eukaryota; Metazoa; Chordata; Lepidosauria; Sphenodontia; Sphenodontidae. The record is from RNAcentral.